CAGAGUUGCAAGACUCCCUAAACCAUUGUGAACCUACCUUCUACCGUUGCUUCGGCGGGCGGGCCCAGCGCCCCCCCGGCCCCCCGCGGGCGCCCGCCGGAGGAUACCCAAACUCUUGACACUAGUGGCCUCUCUGAGUAUUCUUUACUGAAUAAGUCA
Molecule: unclassified non-coding RNA, 159 nt
Filed under: soil metagenome
Description: partial internal transcribed spacer 1
Source: RNAcentral